AGCGAACGCUGGCGGCAGGCUUAACACAUGCAAGUCGAACGGGCGUAGCAAUACGUCAGUGGCAGACGGGUGAGUAACGCGUGGGAACGUGCCUUUUGGUUCGGAACAACACAGGGAAACUUGUGCUAAUACCGGAUAAGCCCUUACGGGGAAAGAUUUAUCGCCAAAAGAUCGGCCCGCGUCUGAUUAGCUAGUUGGUGAGGUAAUGGCUCACCAAGGCGACGAUCAGUAGCUGGUCUGAGAGGAUGAUCAGCCACACUGGGACUGAGACACGGCCCAGACUCCUACGGGAGGCAGCAGUGGGGAAUAUUGGACAAUGGGCGCAAGCCUGAUCCAGCCAUGCCGCGUGAGUGAUGAAGGCCCUAGGGUUGUAAAGCUCUUUUGUGCGGGAAGAUAAUGACGGUACCGCAAGAAUAAGCCCCGGCUAACUUCGUGC
Molecule: ribosomal RNA, 436 nt
Filed under: uncultured bacterium
Lineage: Bacteria
Description: bacterial SSU rRNA
Rfam family: Bacterial small subunit ribosomal RNA
Source: RNAcentral